RNAcentral lists this transfer RNA (68 nucleotides) under Hemitheconyx taylori. Its description in RNAcentral is "tRNA-Trp". The record is from RNAcentral. Lineage: Eukaryota; Metazoa; Chordata; Lepidosauria; Squamata; Eublepharidae.
AGGGACUUAGGUUACAUUUAAACCAAGAGCCUUCAAAGCUCUAAAUAGAGACAUACCUCUAGUCCCUG